Molecule: long non-coding RNA, 224 nt
Organism: Bufo bufo (common toad)
Lineage: Eukaryota; Metazoa; Chordata; Amphibia; Anura; Bufonidae
Exons: 3
Source: RefSeq, a predicted model, not a curated record
GGAAAACAGGGUGGCUGGAUGGACACCACUCAUAUAGGGCAGUGAUGGCAAACCUUUUACAGACUGAGUGCCAAAACUGCAACAUAAACCCACUUAUCUAUUGCAAAGUGCUAACACAGCAAUUUACCUUGAAUACUACAGUCCAAUAUAGUAUAUCUUCCAUGUACUUUAUCAUUUAUCUACAAUAUCCUGCCUACAUUCAGUGCACUAACUGUGCUGUUCAU